Molecule: long non-coding RNA, 657 nt
Organism: Antechinus flavipes (yellow-footed antechinus)
Lineage: Eukaryota; Metazoa; Chordata; Mammalia; Dasyuromorphia; Dasyuridae
Exons: 3
Source: RefSeq, a predicted model, not a curated record
GUUGAUUGGCUCUCAACAGUCGGAAGCUGAUAUAACCCCGGGGAAACGAUUGCGAUUGCGGAAAUGGUUGCGACGGCUGAGAGUUCAAUACCUUAGACUUGCGGAUGACCCAAGACUAUGAUAGCUACCAUUGUUCCCAGAUGGAGAUUAACUGAGAUGGGUGCCAGGCUGCAUCAAUUGAGAAAAUUCCUCAUCAGGAGCUCCCUAUACUGAAAAAAAAAUUCACAAAUCCAAUGUAAAAAAAAAAAAGUUAAAUAACUAAUAGUCACGAUUUCUGUUUUGUUUGGUAGUCUUAUAGCUAUAAAACAUUGUUGAUAUUCGAGUGAAAUGUCAUUUCUUCCAAACAUUUUUAGACUUGGCUUUAAAAGGAACCUAAAUAUAAUAUCUGUUAUCCAAAUGCCAUAUUUAGGCAACUAAGUGGCUCAUAGAACCUGAAGUCAGAAAGACUUGGGUUAAAAUCCAAGCUCUGAUACUUGCUAUCUACAACCCUUGGCAAAUCACUUUACAUCUGCGUGCUUUGGUUUUCUCAACUGUAAAAUGAGGACAAUGAUAGCACAUACCUCCCAGGGUUCUAAAGAUCAAGAGAUGAUAUUUGUAAAGUAUUAGCAAAGAGCCUGGCACUUAAUAAAUGCCCAAUAAAUGCCCCAUAAAAACAAA